Long non-coding RNA from Olea europaea var. sylvestris, 1623 nucleotides. RefSeq lists it as uncharacterized. The transcript is spliced from 2 exons. The record is from RefSeq and is a predicted model, not a curated record. NCBI's taxonomy places the organism in Eukaryota, Viridiplantae, Streptophyta, Magnoliopsida, Lamiales, Oleaceae.
CAUAAGUCAUAAAUUACACAAGGUAAUAUUCACCUAACAAAAUUUAUACAUAGUGGUCCUAUAUUAAGUCAUAAAUCAUUUAUUAAUCACUAAUCACAUAGUUAAAUGGUCUUUCUUCUUUCUUGCCUAUUCUUUUUUCCAAUUUCCAGCUCUUUCAUUCCAUCAACACAAGGCGUUUCUCCACUCUCCAGCACGCUCGAUCCCAACAAAGAACUCGGUUUAUCCUCCGCACCAUUUUGGUCCUAAAAAACACAUGGUGAAGUGAAUAUGGAUCCUAUGACAAGUGACUGGUAUAAUCCUUCCUCUUCGUUUUUCCAAUUGACUGUUGCAUCUAAAUCUUUUACGUGGCAUUUUCUCCUUAAAAUCUGAAUAUACGUUUCUCAGUCAUGUUAAGGGGUAUCUUAGUUGCUGAAGAUUAGUCAGCUUGGUUAAAAAGUCCCUUCUUCCGUUUUCCCUUUUGCUCUCUUUCUUCUCUUAAUUUUUAUUUUCGUUCUAAUUUGAUUUAUUUUCCCAGUUUCCCAAUUUUGUGAUAUGCAAUGUAGUGGUAUCAAAAACUACUGACCUUAUGGAUGUAAAGUUAGGACAUACAAAACAAGCUGUAGCUCUUAGAAGAAUGAAUCUUUGCUUCGUUUUCGAUUAUAGUUUGUCUUAGAUAGAAAAUCUUCUCGUGUUUUCUUUUGGUUGUAUGUUAUUUAAUGCUCUAUCUGGACCUAUCCUCUCCAGUCCUAUCUUAUAGUAAGAUUCACAUUCAAUUUGCUCUCUGCCAUAAAAUGUCAUAGAUUAUGAAGAGCAAUAAUAACAGCAUGAGUCUAGUUUGGAGAUUCUGUUCCUAUUUCAAGAGGAGAAAGAGAAGACAUGGAAGAAGCGGGUAAAGACUGAGUCAUCUUGAGAGAGAGAGAGAGACAGACAGACAGAGAGCGAGCGAGCGAGCUUACAGAGGCAAAGAAUCUGUAUUUAGUAGUUGGGGCUUAACAGAAGAAAUUAGCACUCAAGAUGCUAUGGUAAGUUUGUCUUGUAAGAAAUAAGUGGCUAGACGACAACUUUCAAAAUCGGCAUCUCAUAGAAAGUAUGUCCUUGCUCUUCAUUUUUUUUUCCCUCAACUGGUUACCUUGAUAUGUACCACAAGGGCUAAUUGAGUAUUCUAAGAGACAUGAAUAUUUUAUUGCUGACUUUUCGGAUCUCAAACUUAUAGAACCACAAGAGAAUCUUACCAGUUGCUCAUGUAAUUAUGUUGAUUGCAUUAGAUCAGAUAUGGCCCUUGGUGUGAUGCAAGGACCAGACCAUUUACACGACCAGGAAGCUCAUGAUGAUCCUAGAACUCUUGGGAUGGUCAGUCAUUUGCCUAUCAUGUCUAAGCUGAAAAAGAUGGAUGCCUGCAAAUUGUCAAAUUGUCUAUUCGCUUUAUACUCUCUCAAGGUGUGGAGGCUCUGAUUUCAUGUUUAGCAGUGAGACGGAAGAUGGAAAAUCUAGAAUGGAGUAACUAGGUCAACAACCCAUGAAAUUUAACUAAUAUAUAUUUCCUUUGGAUAAUACCAAACUGAAAAUAUCUUUUUUAUGGAGCAAAAGGUGAGUAAAGAUGGCUAGUGAAAGUUCCUACCUAAGGAGACUAACAUCUGUAGUAAA